UGCGUGGCUGAGCGGUAAAGCAGUGGGUUCUCCUACAGCUGACACAGGUUCGAAUCCUGAUAGGAAAA
Non-coding RNA from Xyrichtys novacula (pearly razorfish), 68 nucleotides. NCBI's taxonomy places the organism in Eukaryota, Metazoa, Chordata, Actinopteri, Labriformes, Labridae. The record is from the annotation of a GenBank genome assembly.